UACGAGGGGUGCAAGCGUUAUUCGGAUUUAUUGGGCGUAAAGGGUGCGUAGACGGUUUGUUAAGUCUGUUGUUAAAUCCCCCGACUUAAUCGGGGACAGGCAAUGGAAACUGGCGAACUAGAGUGUGGGAGAGAGAAGUGGAAUUCCCGGAGUAGCGGUAAAAUGCACAGAUCUCGGGAGGAACACCAAUGGCGAAGGCAGCUUCUUGGCCCAUAACUGACGUUGAGGCACGAAAGCGUGGGGAGCAAACAGG
Molecule: ribosomal RNA, 253 nt
Filed under: uncultured bacterium
Lineage: Bacteria
Description: partial 16S ribosomal RNA
Rfam family: Bacterial small subunit ribosomal RNA
Source: RNAcentral